GGUGAGAUGGCCGAGUUGGUUAUGGCGCCAGGUUAAGGUCCCAACCCUAACUACAAUAUUCCUGGUGGAGCAAUCCUCAUGGGUUCGAAUCCCAUUCUCAUCA
This is a transfer RNA of Pseudomassariella vexata, 103 nucleotides long. It matches the Rfam family "tRNA". Rfam says of the family: Transfer RNA (tRNA) molecules are approximately 80 nucleotides in length. Their secondary structure includes four short double-helical elements and three loops (D, anti-codon, and T loops). NCBI's taxonomy places the organism in Eukaryota, Fungi, Ascomycota, Sordariomycetes, Amphisphaeriales, Pseudomassariaceae. The record is from Rfam.